GACGAACGCUGGCGGCGUGCUUAACACAUGCAAGUCGAACGGUAAGGCCCUUCGGGGUACACGAGUGGCGAACGGGUGAGUAACACGUGGGUGAUCUGCCCUGCACUUCGGGAUAAGCCUGGGAAACUGGGUCUAAUACCGGAUAGGACCACUGCCUGCAUGGGUGGUGGUGGAAAGCUUUUGCGGUGUGGGAUGGGCCCGCGGCCUAUCAGCUUGUCGGUGGGGUGAUGGCCUACCAAGGCGACGACGGGUAGCCGGCCUGAGAGGGUGACCGGCCACACUGGGACUGAAAUACGGCCCAGAAUCCAACGGGAGGCAGCAGUGGGGCAUAUUGCACAAUGGGCGCAAGCCUGAUGCAGCGGCGCUGCGUGAGGGAUGACGGCCUUCGGGUUGUAAACCUCUUUCAGCACCGACGAAGCGCAAGUGACGGUAGGUGCAGAAGAAGGACCGGACAGCUACGUGCCAGCCGCCGCCGUAA
RNAcentral lists this ribosomal RNA (478 nucleotides) under uncultured bacterium. RNAcentral describes it as "partial 16S ribosomal RNA". It matches the Rfam family "Bacterial small subunit ribosomal RNA", at positions 28 to 523 of the family's 1533-position model. The record is from RNAcentral.